UACGGAGGGGGUUAGCGUUGUUCGGAAUGACUGGGCGUAAAGCGCGCGUAGGCGGCUCAGGAAGUUGGGGGUGAAAUCCCGGGGCUCAACCCCGGAAUGGCCUUCAAAACUCCUGGUCUUGAGUUCGAGAGAGGUGAGUGGAAUUCCGAGUGUAGAGGUGAAAUUCGUAGAUAUUCGGAGGAACACCAGUGGCGAAGGCGGCUCACUGGCUCGACACUGACGCUGAGGUGCGAAAGCGUGGGGAGCAAACAGG
Molecule: ribosomal RNA, 253 nt
Filed under: uncultured bacterium
Lineage: Bacteria
Description: partial 16S ribosomal RNA
Rfam family: Bacterial small subunit ribosomal RNA
Source: RNAcentral